Molecule: ribosomal RNA, 301 nt
Filed under: uncultured bacterium
Lineage: Bacteria
Description: partial 16S ribosomal RNA
Rfam family: Bacterial small subunit ribosomal RNA
Source: RNAcentral
CAGUAGCCGCGGUAAUACGAAGGGGGCUAGCGUUGUUCGGAUUUACUGGGCGUAAAGGGUGCGUAGGCGGACUGAUAAGUCAGGGGUGAAAUCCCAAGGCUCAACCUUGGAACUGCCUUCGAUACUGUUAGUCUUGAGUUCGAGAGAGGUGAGUGGAACUGCGAGUGUAGAGGUGGAAUUCGUAGAUAUUCGCAAGAACACCAGUGGCGAAGGCGGCUCACUGGCUCGAAACUGACGCUGAGGCACGAAAGCGUGGGGAGCAAACAGGAUUAGAUACCCGCGUAGUCCCUGUCUCUUAUAC